RNAcentral lists this transfer RNA (72 nucleotides) under Neptuneopsis gilchristi. RNAcentral describes it as "tRNA-Pro". It matches the Rfam family "tRNA". Rfam says of the family: Transfer RNA (tRNA) molecules are approximately 80 nucleotides in length. Lineage: Eukaryota; Metazoa; Mollusca; Gastropoda; Neogastropoda; Volutidae. The record is from RNAcentral.
UCGAAUUGUAGUUUAAUGUAAAAUAUCAGCAUUGGAAGCUAACGAUUGGGUAAGUAAUGCCCACAUUUCGAA